AACAUCGCGCACCUGCGGGAACCUGCGGAAGGAUCAUUAUCGAGUGUAAUCUACCCCUUUAAAAAAGGGUAGUACCUCCCGUCCUUUGCAGGCCUCUUUUUUUAUUAGGGGGGGCUUUUUAAGACUUUCUGCUUCGGCGGGGUUACUCCCGCCGGAACACCCUCAAAAAAUUCUCGAAAAAAAUCGUUCAGUCCGAGAACUUUUUAAAAAUAAAAUAAAACUUUUAACAACGGAUCUCAG
Molecule: unclassified non-coding RNA, 240 nt
Filed under: soil metagenome
Description: partial contains 5.8S ribosomal RNA, internal transcribed spacer 2, and large subunit ribosomal RNA
Source: RNAcentral